GCCAGGAGAUGAUGCGGUGCAGUGUGCGUUUUUUGUUUGUGCUGACAAAGGCCUGUGUUGGAGAGGACGUCUAACAGAUCCCAUCUGAUGGCUUCAGUUAUGGAGUUAAUGUCCUGGAACUGACCCGUGACAGACUGUGGGGAUGCAGGAUGUUGCAGAAUUACUCACCCCACAAGGACUUCUUCACAUCGGUUGGUGUCACAAUCUGGAAUGAAAAAACAUUUAUACAGCCUGAACUUUCUCCCUGAUUGGUUUUAGAAAGCUGUUUGGUCAUUGUGGUGUGGUUGCUUGGACGUUCUCUGCCGUACUCGGGAGCCUGGGCUGUGUCCCCAGAUUUUGACACAGAUGGACUAUUUAAUAUAUUGUGUUAUUUCUGAAUGCAUUUGAUCUCACCACAGUUUAUUUGAGCAAAGCAAAGGGGUGAAAACUUAUGCAAUAUGUUUUUUUUGUGUAAUGAAUGCAUUUUUCCUAACAUCAAUACUAUUUAAUACUCUUUGUAGAUCAAUAACAGAACAAAACAAAUUUAGCUCACAUUGUAGCACUACAAAAUGUGCAAAAGUCCACUAUAUAUUUCAUACAUAGUUCUCCUUGACUUAUCUGAAUAAAUAAAUGUUGGGGCAGACCAGAUUGUCGUCUGUGUUGACUGUUUGAGAUUAGUUAUCCCAGACUGAAGAGCAGCCCUCAUAACUGCAGAUCUCUGACCAGCUGAAGUGGUGGAAGCAGUUAUCAGAGGGGAGAUUGAGUGGUUGGGGUCAAAGUUCAGCGUUGGUUUAAGCAGGGCUUAGGUUACACCCACCAACUGGUCUUCCAUCAACGUGAGAGACAGGAAUGUACAAAGACAGACAGAGAGACCGAGAGACAGACAGCAACUACUCACAUGUUGUUGUUCAAAUAUAAGAGAUACAAGAGUCAGCUUAACCAGUUUGUGUUGUGUGUUUGAUUUCUUUUGUGAGCCCACCCAAACACAAAAAAUGCACUGUAAAAAAUGUCUUAUCAGGUAUAUUUAUCUUAUUUUCUUGUUAAAAACCCUACCAUCCUUUAAAUUUU
Long non-coding RNA from Esox lucius (northern pike), 1047 nucleotides. The record is from Ensembl. Lineage: Eukaryota; Metazoa; Chordata; Actinopteri; Esociformes; Esocidae.